This 678-nucleotide non-coding RNA is filed under the name Gossypium arboreum. RNAcentral describes it as "Bacterial large subunit ribosomal RNA". It matches the Rfam family "Bacterial large subunit ribosomal RNA", at positions 2163 to 2925 of the family's 2925-position model. The record is from Rfam by way of RNAcentral. Lineage: Eukaryota; Viridiplantae; Streptophyta; Magnoliopsida; Malvales; Malvaceae.
UCACAAUUAAUAUUAUGCGUGAAAAAUAAGACGAAAAACUAUGGCUAAAUUUACUAACCUUUGUUAACACACCUAUGGGUUAAAAGGAUAGUUUCUACGGGGCGUAAGCCUCCCAAAAGGUAAUGGAGGUGUGUAAAGGUUUUCUCGAGUCAGAUGAAGAUUGGCCCUCGAGUGCAAAGUCAGAAAGAAGUUUAAUUGUAAGACCCAUCUAUCUAGUAAGGACGAAAGUCAGCUUUAGUGAUUUGAUUGUGCCGAGUGGAAGGGUCGUCGCUCAAUAGAUUAAAGUUACUCUAGAGAUAAUAGGCUACUCUUCCCUAAGAGCUCACAUCAAUGGAAAGGUUUGGCACAUCGAUUUCGACUCUUCGUCACUUGGGGCUAUAGUAUAUUCCAAGGGUUGGGUUGUUCACCUAUUAAAGUGAUAUGUGAGUUGGGUUCAGAACAUCCUGAGACAGUUUGUUCCAUUUCUGGUGUGAGCGUUAAAGCAUUGAGAGGACCUUUCCCUAGUACGAAAAGAUUGAGAAGAACGCACCUUUCGUGUACCAGUUAUCAUGUCUACGAUAAACGCUAGGUAGCCAAGUUCGAAAUGUCAUCCAAACAUUGAAGCUAAAUUAGGAAAAUAACGGAAGUGCGCCUCAAGAUAGGAAAGACUAAGUUUCAAGACUUGAACCCCAAAGUCAC